RNAcentral lists this small RNA (107 nucleotides) under Arabidopsis thaliana (thale cress). Its description in RNAcentral is "ATSL156590". Lineage: Eukaryota; Viridiplantae; Streptophyta; Magnoliopsida; Brassicales; Brassicaceae. The record is from RNAcentral.
UAUAUAUUAGUUAUAGACAUAUAUUUCACUACAUUCAUUUCACCCACACAUCGCGUGGGUCAUUUUCUAGUUCUUUAUAUAAGCUUGUUCGAUUCUUCUUUAGUUCA